UACGAAGGGGGCUAGCGUUGCUCGGAAUCACUGGGCGUAAAGGGUGCGUAGGCGGGUCUUUAAGUCAGGGGUGAAAUCCUGGAGCUCAACUCCAGAACUGCCUUUGAUACUGAGGAUCUUGAGUUCGGGAGAGGUGAGUGGAACUGCGAGUGUAGAGGUGAAAUUCGUAGAUAUUCGCAAGAACACCGGUGGCGAAGGCGGCCAACUGGACCAUUACUGACGCUGAGGCGCGAAAGCGUGGGGAGCAAACAGG
This 253-nucleotide ribosomal RNA is filed under the name uncultured bacterium. Its description in RNAcentral is "partial 16S ribosomal RNA". It matches the Rfam family "Bacterial small subunit ribosomal RNA", at positions 524 to 776 of the family's 1533-position model. The record is from RNAcentral.